UAUUCAUGAAAAUAUUAGUCAUGUCCUCCUUCACGCUACCAAUGGCUGACAUUGGGAAAUGAUGGAUACUGAAGACCCCACAAAGUGUUGAUGACAACAACAGUGAUUUCAUGCUGCUGGAGGUUGUAUGCCUGGCAUAAUGUGAAAGAGGAAUCACAGAGCUGGAGAACUACAGAAACUUCUGGAAUUGUAUCAAAGGAAGUAUGCUAAAUAGGGGCUGUGACGAGGACACAGAGAAGACUGCUAGAUUAGGCAAAACUCAGCACACGUGGCUUCUUCCUCACACCCCCACAGAAAAGAAGGCCCGGUGCCUUUCUAGGAAAUAA
This 326-nucleotide long non-coding RNA is filed under the name Macaca fascicularis (crab-eating macaque). RNAcentral's name for it is "lncRNA (ENSMFAG00000063744.1)". Lineage: Eukaryota; Metazoa; Chordata; Mammalia; Primates; Cercopithecidae. The record is from RNAcentral.